GCAUAGUUUCAUAAUACCAAGUUGUAAUGACCAUUACAUUCUACCACUUCCAUUGCACUUAUUAUAUUAAGGAAAUAAACAACUUAAAAUAACAACAAAAAUCAUGAUAACGCGUAGCUAGGAAAUCAUAAACAUUUGUGUUUUUUUUACUAAGCUAAAUUAAUAUCAUUAAAAAUCUCACAAGGUUACAGACAAUGGAGUACUUCAAACUAAUCUAAAUCAGGUCAAAAUACAUAACACCCCAAACAAAAACACUGCCAUAAAAAUUUAAA
This 272-nucleotide long non-coding RNA is filed under the name Gossypium raimondii (Peruvian cotton). RNAcentral describes it as "long non-coding RNA (GRAI_LNC001277)". Lineage: Eukaryota; Viridiplantae; Streptophyta; Magnoliopsida; Malvales; Malvaceae. The record is from RNAcentral.